GACGAACGCUGGCGGCGUGCUUAACACAUGCAAGUCGAACGGAAAGGCCCUGCUUUUGUGGGGUGCUCGAGUGGCGAACGGGUGAGUAACACGUGAGUAACCUGCCCUUGACUUUGGGAUAACUUCAGGAAACUGGGGCUAAUACCGGAUAGGAGCUCCUGCUGCAUGGUGGGGGUUGGAAAGUUUCGGCGGUUGGGGAUGGACUCGCGGCUUAUCAGCUUGUUGGUGGGGUAGUGGCUUACCAAGGCUUUGACGGGUAGCCGGCCUGAGAGGGUGACCGGCCACAUUGGGACUGAGAUACGGCCCAGACUCCUACGGGAGGCAGCAGUGGGGAAUAUUGCACAAUGGGCGGAAGCCUGAUGCAGCAACGCCGCGUGCGGGAUGACGGCCUUCGGGUUGUAAACCGCUUUCGCCUGUGACGAAGCGUGAGUGACGGUAAUGGGUAAAGAAGCGCCGGCUAACUACGG
Molecule: ribosomal RNA, 467 nt
Filed under: uncultured bacterium
Lineage: Bacteria
Description: partial 16S ribosomal RNA
Rfam family: Bacterial small subunit ribosomal RNA
Source: RNAcentral